GGAAUAAGUUCUCAAAUGAAAAUUCCAAUGCUUGGAAUACCAAUUAAUUGGGGCAAAAGGCAUCUUUGUAGCGAUCCAAACAUGGUCCACAUGUGUCUUUGAAGGGAUACAGAUCUUUCAAACUUAAUGUAACGACCUGUUUAGUCGUUUUGAGCAGCAGAUUUUAUUUCUGGAAAAACAGGCUGAGACGACGGAACCCACGACGGACCGUCAUGAGCACGACGGACUGUCGAGGGGUCUCG
RNAcentral lists this unclassified non-coding RNA (242 nucleotides) under Hevea brasiliensis (rubber tree). The record is from RNAcentral. Lineage: Eukaryota; Viridiplantae; Streptophyta; Magnoliopsida; Malpighiales; Euphorbiaceae.